RNAcentral lists this ribosomal RNA (695 nucleotides) under Klebsiella sp. E6. Its description in RNAcentral is "bacterial SSU rRNA". It matches the Rfam family "Bacterial small subunit ribosomal RNA", at positions 82 to 743 of the family's 1533-position model. The record is from RNAcentral. Lineage: Bacteria; Pseudomonadati; Pseudomonadota; Gammaproteobacteria; Enterobacterales; Enterobacteriaceae.
UCGUCCGCUCGAGCGGUCGCCAGGGUGCUUGCUCCUGGACGUCCAGCCUCGUCACAUCUGAGCAUGUCCGAUGAAACUAGGCCCGAAGGGGGGAUAACUUCUGUCUUGCGACAUCUAAUACCGAUUAACGUCGUUGACCGAAGUGGGGGACCUUCGGGCCUCUUGCCAUCAGACAUUACCCACAUGUCCGCCGCUACGUGGUGGGGUGCGGCUCCCUGUGUUAACGCUCGACUUGUGUGUGUUAAGGAUGACCGCCCACGUUGGUCUGAGCCGGAUCAAACUCUAUACGGGAGGCAGCAGUGGAGAAUAUUGCACAAUGGGCGCAAGCCUGAUGCAGCCAUGCCGCGUGUAUGAAGAAGGCCUUCGGGUUGUAAAGUACUUUCAGCGAGGAGGAAGGCAUUAAGGUUAAUAACCUUGGUGAUUGACGUUACUCGCAGAAGAAGCACCGGCUAACUCCGUGCCAGCAGCCGCGGUAAUACGGAGGGUGCAAGCGUUAAUCGGAAUUACUGGGCGUAAAGCGCACGCAGGCGGUCUGUCAAGUCGGAUGUGAAAUCCCCGGGCUCAACCUGGGAACUGCAUUCGAAACUGGCAGGCUAGAGUCUUGUAAAGGGCGUAGAAUCCCAGAUGUACUCGGUGAAAUGCGUAAAGAUCUGGAGAAUACCGGUGGCGAAGGCGGCCCCCUGGACAAAGACUGA